CCGUUUCUAUUUUUUGCACCGCCAGUACACAGAAGCGUUUUAUAACGGUCUUUAUUGAUAAAUCGAUAUGUGGCCAUUGUUUAUUGCGUUUUGAAGAGCACUCGCUUCGUCUUUCCAACAAGACGCGUAGGUUCGACGCUCCGAUUUGCAUUUAAACUGUCGUCUUCUCGGAAGCAGGCACUCAUGCUUGGAGACCUGCAGAGCACAAACUGCAGCAUGUAUGCCGAAAUAAAUAACUAUUGCCUAUUUCAAAUAGAACCAAUGUAAGGUGUGGCGAGCCCGGGAGACAGCAAGAGCCGCAGGAGUCCUGGACUAAGGGCGCCUCCCACACAAGCAGAAAGACACCUGCUUUUCCUUUCUUUUCUGUAAUAAAUGUUUUUUCUUCUCCUCCUC
This is a non-coding RNA of Dermacentor albipictus, 393 nucleotides long. NCBI's taxonomy places the organism in Eukaryota, Metazoa, Arthropoda, Arachnida, Ixodida, Ixodidae. The record is from RefSeq and is a predicted model, not a curated record.